UACAGAGGGUGCAAGCGUUAAUCGGAAUUAUUGGGCGUAAAGAGUACGUAGGUGGAUAUUUAAGUUAAUUGUGAAAGUUUUUAGCUCAACUAAAAGAUUGCAUUUAAUACUAUUUAUCUAGAGUUUUGUAGAGGAAAGUGGAAUUUCCAGUGUAGCGGUGAAAUGCGUAGAUAUUGGAAGGAACACCAGUGGCGAAGGCGACUUUCUGGACAAAUACUGACACUGAGGUACGAAAGCAUGGGGAGCAAACAGG
This 253-nucleotide ribosomal RNA is filed under the name uncultured bacterium. RNAcentral describes it as "partial 16S ribosomal RNA". It matches the Rfam family "Bacterial small subunit ribosomal RNA", at positions 524 to 776 of the family's 1533-position model. The record is from RNAcentral.